RNAcentral lists this transfer RNA (69 nucleotides) under Ophiopholis aculeata (daisy brittle star). RNAcentral's name for it is "tRNA-Cys". It matches the Rfam family "tRNA". From Rfam's summary of the family: Transfer RNA (tRNA) molecules are approximately 80 nucleotides in length. Their secondary structure includes four short double-helical elements and three loops (D, anti-codon, and T loops). The record is from RNAcentral. Lineage: Eukaryota; Metazoa; Echinodermata; Ophiuroidea; Amphilepidida; Ophiactidae.
GGUUGCAUAGUGUAUAUAAAGCACAUCAGAUUGCAAAUCUGAAAGAGGGAUUAGUUUUCGCUGCUACCU